Bactrocera tryoni is the source of this 489-nucleotide long non-coding RNA. RefSeq lists it as uncharacterized. NCBI's taxonomy places the organism in Eukaryota, Metazoa, Arthropoda, Insecta, Diptera, Tephritidae. The transcript is spliced from 3 exons. The record is from RefSeq and is a predicted model, not a curated record.
AAAAGCAGCGACUAUCGCAUUGGUUCACGAUCGUAAAGACACGUAGACGCGGAGAUAAGAAAUUCGAAAUGUGUAUUUGUUGACGCUAAUAACCGAUCAUGAUACUGCGAUCGCUUUCUGAGGCUUAUCACUCAUCUGUAAAUGGUUCCAAUCACCGAAAGUUCUAUUGGAACAGUACCAUGGCUUUUUGCGCUACACUAUUGUCACGAAAUCUCCAUGUAAAGCCAUAACAAUGUUAUCGAGUUGAAUUUAUACAAGAGAGUUUGACCAGAUUUGCAAUAUGGCUUAUAUCAUAAAUUACUCUCAACAUGCUAAGCUCGGGUGCAACCGAAAAUUUUAUACUCUUGCAACUUGGAAAUCUAUCCAGCAUAAAGUCACCUGGAAGUACGAAAAUUUUUGUAUUAGGUGUAUUGCAGCUCAGAGAGUAAUUAACCCAAUUCAACCCAUUUUGGAUACACAGAGACGCUAUUGUCAGGAAAGGUUUCUGUA